UAUCAUUCUCUUCUUUCGUCAGUUACCCAGAUGCACGAACUUCAUCUGCCGCUUCACUCUCACUUGCUUUCUCUCUCCCCCCUUCACUCGAAAAUUUCAAAUCUUCAAUUCUCGGAUCAGUUAAUUCAUAACAUUCAAUUGUUUUCCAUCAAUUUUGUGGUUUUUUUGGAUUUGAUUCUGUUUUUGCGAUCCCGAUUUGACAAUCUAAGGAUUUUAAUUGCUAUUUAGUUUUCGUUUUUAGGGUUUAGGGUUUGCCAUCCCGAUUUGAUUCUGUUUUUGCGAUCCCGAUUACGAGGUUUUGAUUUUGAUUAGGUUUUAGAAAUCUUAUUUGGAUUCCUAAUAGGUUUUAUAAAUCUGAUUUUUAUUCCUAAUAGGUUUUUGAAAUAUGAUUUGGGGUCCUUAUAAGUUUUGCUUUUGUCCGUUUUCUAAUGCAUUAGCUUCAAAUCAAACAAUCGGAAGGUGAGUUUGGGUUUUCCGGAGAUGUGUUCUACGGUGGAGGUGGUGCAGGGACCGGCGGAGGGAGGGCGGGGAUGGCGAGUUUCCGACAACAACAACAACAAUAACAGCAGCAACAAUCGCGACAGAGAGGAUUUUUCGGGAUUUAUACAGAUUUAUGUGUCAAAAAGUCAAAAACCACCAAAAAAAAAGAGGGGACCUGGUUGGUGAUGAUUUGAGAUCAUUGCUCAUUCAAUUUUGUGUUUUAUCUGUGCCUUAUCAAGAUUUUGGCAAAUCGCCAGUCAGUUGCUGAUACGUAUACCGUCUACAGACAAACAUAAGUGAUCGUUUAAGAUGAUCAUUUAUUAAUGGAGGUUCAGUAAAUGAUCAUCUUAAAGGGUAUAAGGGUUAUAGCUUUGUGGAAAAUCCCUUCAAAAUUAUUACUCAUUAUCAGGUAGAACGAUAGACAUUGGAGACGUUGGAGUUUGAUACUUUAAUUGCUAAUGGUGUUCAUCAAAUUGGGCUUUAGAGUUGAACAUUGAAGUACAUUAAGGAGGAAAUUUGAUUGUCACACAUUUGUUUAUUUGUAUUAUGUGAUAUUAUUUACAAAUUAAAAUUUAAUUUAAAUUGUCGCACAUUUGUUUAUUUGUUGUAUGCUUCAAACUUAUCGGAAUGUGAUAGUAACGCAGAAUAUAAUAGUAUUUGUAUUGUGGCAAA
Spinacia oleracea (spinach) is the source of this 1152-nucleotide long non-coding RNA. RefSeq lists it as uncharacterized. Lineage: Eukaryota; Viridiplantae; Streptophyta; Magnoliopsida; Caryophyllales; Amaranthaceae. The transcript is spliced from 5 exons. The record is from RefSeq and is a predicted model, not a curated record.